UUAUCUCAAGCUUCUUCUUGCUGCCAGGUUACGCACCCCCUGGUGGCCAUUUGAAAGAAUGCAGAUUUGACGUACUUUUGAAUAGCCUUGACUUUUCAGAUCUGGUGGGUCGUCAUCUUUUAGAUACAGUCUGUGGCCACACAUUGAGAUAAUUCUAGAAAACACCAGAAGUCCUUUAAGUUUGCUGCUCCUCAAGUACGCACCGAGUACCCAUCCAUCAGGUAAACAGGAGUCGGGACGACGUUCUUGGCACAUGCAUCAAAUCUCUCUUUACACACCCAGUGCGGUAAACCAUCUCCAUCGUUAAUCUUCCUGAACGUAACUUGUUUGUCUUUCGGCCGGCCGAACAUUUGGAUGGACAGACCGUUUCGGGCCGUGUGCGGCUCAUGGAGGUGUAAUGGGAGGGAAAAUCUGUAGCCCACUCAUGUGCAGAGCUGUUCAUUAGCAGUGGCAGCAGAGGGGGCCGGGGGACGGCCAGCCGCUGGUUGUUUUUCCACUUGGUUUAUUUAUUUGGCACACAGAGGAGCUGCAGAGGCUGCUGCUGAAGGCGAGGUGUUUAAAGUGAGAGCAGGUCAGAAACAUAAAUGUUUUCUCAGGAACACCCCAGAGCCCCGGCUAAUACAGAGCUGCGGUCAGAGGAAAACUCGCUUCUCCUACACCUUAUCUUUCCUCCUACAUCACGCUCCUUUCCUCAUCUACUUCUCCUCAUCUCCUCUGCUUGUCUCCUUUUCUUUUUCCACUGUUCGCUUCCUCAUGGUUUUGUUUUUCUACUCUCUUCAUUACGUUUCCUUUCAUCCCUUUUUUCUUCUUCCAGUAGUUCCUAUCCUUAUCCAUCCCUUCCUUAUCUCCUACCAUUUCUUCUCCUCUUUCCUUAUCUCCCCUUCGUAUCUUCUUCAUUUUUCAUUUCCUCAUUUCUCUCAUUUCUUCCUCUGCUUCCUCCUUCCAUCCCCAUUCCCAUUUUUCUCUCUGCUUUCCUUUUCCUCCAUCGUUUCUCCUUCUAUUUCAACCUGUUAUUCCAUCGGCCUCAUUCCCAUCUUUCCUUAUCCUUUCCUUCCUUUCCCUUCUUGUCCUUGAUCUCCCUCAUGCCUUUCUCCCUUAUCACUUCUUUUUGUUUCCUUCCUUAUUGCCUUUCUAUCCUUUUCCUUUAGAUUUCUCUCCCUCUUUCCUCAUUUGAUCUUGCCCUUCUUUUUGUUUCCUCUCCUUUGUACUACUCAUCUUUCCUUUUUUGUGUUCCCUCUUCCUCUUUCCUUGCCUUUUGCGUCUCUUUCUUCCUCUUCUCUUUCCUCAUCCCUGGUUACCUCUCCUUUUCUCCUCUCAAUGUUUCCUACCCUUGCAGUUUAUUCUCCUCUCCUUUUUUAGCUUCUUUUCCUGUUUCCUCUGCUCAUCCUGUCUUCUUCCUCCCCGUCCUUCUUGUCUGAUGCAUUUGUUUCCUUGUGUCAUAAUCUCACUCCUCCUUUCCCUGUCACCCCUCAUCAUUUGUUGUCUUCUUGUUUUCUCUCCUCGUCUCCUUUUCAUCCUCCUUCCACUCCCGUUUCCUCGCUGCCUGUCCCUCUUGUCUCAUGUCCUUGUCCUCUUUCCUCUCCUCCUCCUCUUCCUCCUGUCACUGCGUCACACACAGAAGAGGAAGAAGAGCUGAAUAAGGGCAGAUUUUCUGUCCCUCGUCUCUGACAGCAGCAGCUCUGUGAUCAUUUCUGCCCGUCUGCAGCUCAGCGACAGCUUCGCACUCUUCUCUCUCGUCUACCCACAAGCACGAGGGCUGUCACGCCGAUGCACCAAAAACCUGACGUCCCCGGCGGCCAAUCACAUCGAAGCGGAAAGUAGUGGUAGCGCAGGAGGGGGACAGGGAGGGGGAAGGGGCGGGGGAGGAGAUCAUAAAUCAUGGAUGAUUUAACAGAAACUUGAAAUACAUUUGUCUGUUUGUAAAAUUUGAUUUUUGUCUUUUUUUCUUUUUCCCUUCCCUUUCACCGCUUCUCGUUUCCAUUCUAAUUUUUUCUUCCUUUGCUCCCGAAUCUUCCCUCUCUGCUUGCUUUUUUGGGGCAGUGCUGAGCUUUUGUCACCGCUACAGCAGAAACGCCGCUCAUUGAUCUGGGCGAUCAUCAUCACCAUCACCACAUCACCAUCAGUUUCGCUGACGUUUUCCCCUCGCUGCUUUUUCGCACAUCAUUUUGGUCUCUCAGGCCUCAGCUGGACUAAUAACGUGAGGAGUGAGUACUCGGAUCGUUCUGGUUUUGGACUCCUAAAUCCUAGCUCAGACCUUGAAGGUGUGACAUUUUGUCAUUAGCGUAAUUUGUCUGACUCUCUCGGCUGCCGUAGAGGUCGUUUUCACAUUAAGGAGCCAAAUUAAAAGGGUAAAAAUUUAUUCUGCACAUUUGGAGGUUUUUCCAUUGGCUCCAGACCUGCGUCGUGAAGCAGUGUGAGGAUUUCACCUCUAACAUGUAUGUCGCAAAUCCAUCUUUCACCAUAACUAACAGCUAAACACAAUAGCUGUGUCCCAGCUUUGCACCGGCUCAGUUACCUUAAAAAAUAACUUUUAUGCUCAUUAAAAAAAUGCUGCUUUGGGG
Long non-coding RNA from Oreochromis aureus, 2561 nucleotides. NCBI's taxonomy places the organism in Eukaryota, Metazoa, Chordata, Actinopteri, Cichliformes, Cichlidae. The record is from Ensembl.